RNAcentral lists this non-coding RNA (26 nucleotides) under Rattus norvegicus (Norway rat). The record is from RNAcentral. Lineage: Eukaryota; Metazoa; Chordata; Mammalia; Rodentia; Muridae.
GUGGCUUACUGUUCAUUAUUAAUGGA